GACGAACGCUGGCGGCGUGCUUAACACAUGCAAGUCGAACGGAAAGGCCCUGCUUUUGUGGGGUGCUCGAGUGGCGAACGGGUGAGUAACACGUGAGUAACCUGCCCUUGACUUUGGGAUAACUUCAGGAAACUGGGGCUAAUACCGGAUAGGAGCUCCUGCUGCAUGGUGGGGGUUGGAAAGUUUCGGCGGUUGGGGAUGGACUGGCGGCUUAUCAGCUUGUUGGUGGGGUAGUGGCUUACCAAGGCUUUGACGGGUAGCCGGCCUGAGAGGGUGACCGGCCACAUUGGGACUGAGAGACGGACCAGACUCCUACGGGAGGCAGCAGUGGGGAAUAUUGCACAAUGGGCGGAAGCCUGAUGCAGCAACGCCGCGUGCGGGAUGACGGCCUUCGGGUUGUAAACCGCUUUCGCCUGUGACGAAGCGUGAGUGACGGUAAUGGGUAAAGAAGCACCGGCUAACUACGUG
This 468-nucleotide ribosomal RNA is filed under the name uncultured bacterium. RNAcentral describes it as "partial 16S ribosomal RNA". It matches the Rfam family "Bacterial small subunit ribosomal RNA", at positions 28 to 507 of the family's 1533-position model. The record is from RNAcentral.